RNAcentral lists this unclassified non-coding RNA (240 nucleotides) under soil metagenome. RNAcentral's name for it is "partial contains 5.8S ribosomal RNA, internal transcribed spacer 2, and large subunit ribosomal RNA". The record is from RNAcentral.
AACGCACGAGACCUGCGGACCUGCGGAGGGAUCAUUACCGAGUUUACAACUCCCAAACCCAAUGUGAACGUUACCAAACUGUUGCCUCGGCGGGAUCUCUGCCCCGGGUGCGUCGCAGCCCCGGACCAAGGCGCCCGCCGGAGGACCAACCUAAAACUCUUAUUGUAUACCCCCCUCGCGGGUUUUUUUAUAAUCUGAGCCUUCUCGGCGCCUCUCGUAGGCGUUUCGAAAAUGAAUCAA